CCCGCUGAACUUAAGCAUAUCAAUAAGCGGAGGAAAAUCAUUACCUAGAGUUGUAGGCUUUGCCUACAUCUCUUACCCAUGUCUUUUGAGUACCUUCGUUUCCUCGGCGGGUCCGCCCGCAUUGGACAAACUUAAACUUUUGUAAUUGAAAUCACGUCUGAAAAAACAUAAUAGUUACAACUUUCACAAGGAUCUCUGGGUUCGGCAUCAUGAAAAACGCAGCAAAUGGAUAAGUAGUGUGAAUUGCAAAUUCGUGAAUAUCAAUCUUUGAACCACAUUGCCCCCUGGUAUUCUGGGGGCAUGCCUGUUCAAC
RNAcentral lists this ribosomal RNA (313 nucleotides) under Boeremia exigua. Its description in RNAcentral is "partial 28S ribosomal RNA". The stretch from base 179 to 312 matches the Rfam family "5.8S ribosomal RNA". The record is from RNAcentral. Lineage: Eukaryota; Fungi; Ascomycota; Dothideomycetes; Pleosporales; Didymellaceae.